This 765-nucleotide ribosomal RNA is filed under the name uncultured bacterium. RNAcentral's name for it is "bacterial SSU rRNA". It matches the Rfam family "Bacterial small subunit ribosomal RNA", at positions 1 to 749 of the family's 1533-position model. The record is from RNAcentral.
AGAGGUUUGGGAUCAUGGGGCUCAGAACGAACGCUGGCGGCGUGGAUUAGGCAUGCAAGUCGAACGAGGAUAUAUCCUUCGGGAUAUAAACCGAGUGGCGGAAGGGUGAGUAAUGCACAGACAACCUGCCUUUAGGAUAAGAAUAACUCUGUGAAAGCGGAGCUAAUACUUAAUAAUACAAAGAAAAGGUACUUUUCUUUGUCAAAAAAGGGUAUUUAUACCUUUUGCCUAGAGAGGGGUUUAUGUCCUAUCAGCUUGUUGGUGGGGUAACGGCCUACCAAGGCGAAGACGGGUAACCGGCCUUAGAGGGUAGUCGGUCACACUGGAACUGAGACACUGUCCAGACUUCUACGGAAGGCUGCAGUCGAGAAUCUUUCGCAAUGCCCGAAAGGGUGACGAAGCGACGCCGCGUGGAUGAAGAAGGCCUUCGGGUUGUAAAACCCUGUCAGGAGUUAAGAAAUAUAAGUUUGAUAAUACCAAAUUUAUUUGACAAAGGCUCCAGAGGAGCCACGGCUAACUCUGUGCCAGCAGCCGCGGUAAUACAGAGGUGGCAAGCGUUGUUCGGAAUUAUUGGGCGUAAAGAGCACGUAGGUGGAUUUGUUAGUCAGAUGUGAAAGCCUUUCGUUCAACGGAAGAAUUGCAUCUGAAACUGCAAACCUUGAGUAUAGGAGGGGAGAGUGGAACUUCUGGUGGAGCGGUGAAAUGCGUAGAUAUCAGAAGGAACGCCGGCGGCGAAAGCGACUCUCUGGCUAUAACUGACACUGA